RNAcentral lists this long non-coding RNA (442 nucleotides) under Brassica napus (rape). Its description in RNAcentral is "long non-coding RNA (BNAP_LNC024548)". Lineage: Eukaryota; Viridiplantae; Streptophyta; Magnoliopsida; Brassicales; Brassicaceae. The record is from RNAcentral.
GCAAAAUCUGAGUAAACAAAAACAUAAGACAUCUUUUACCAAAAAAAUAUAAGAUAUCAAUCUUUGUAUUAUUCAGUUGUUGAAACUAAUUUAGUUUGCUGCAAACAUGUAUGAGAAAUCAAAAGUACAACUGUACAAGAAGAAGAUGAGCAAUCAAAGAAAAGGUUGGAUGAGAUAUGUUCUGAGUAAAGUUGGCAAAGGUUGAAGAGGAAUGGAGUAGAGAGAGUUGCAGAAUGUUUGACCAUUCAUAUUUCAGGUAAACGAUAAUUUUGUUUACUAAAGUCUUUACAAUUUUUUUUAACAAAUGUCUAAUCGUUUUCUGUAACUAAUUUUAAAAUUUCUCAAAGAUUUGUUUUACAAAUUUACAAGGUUUUUUAAUAACUAUCUGAAAACAAAAAAAAGUUAAUAUGUUUAGAUAACACACUUUUCCCGUGAAACUUUA